UGCCCCUCUCAAGUCACCUCCUAUGCGAUGCUCUGGCCGCGUCCGUGACUUGAUGCCUCUGCCUCCUCCAUUGUUUGCUUGCCUAUGAGCUCUAGAGCUCUCCUGAGCCCUCCUAGAGCCUAUAAAAGGAGGCCCCGUCCUCCCCCGCUCCUCAUCGCCUCCUCAGCCCAGCCCCAAGACCAUCGGAGCUCCCUGCCUCCUCCUCUGUCCGCCACGACCAUCGACGGACACCGCUCAAAUUGGAGCUAGCCGAGCCCCCUCUCGCCCUCUUGAGCUCACCGGAGUUCGCCCCUAGCCCCCCGAUCCUUCCCAUACCACCAGCCCCUCCCCUAUGCCUCUGUUACCGCGGAACCACUGGUGCCUGACGCCACCGUCCACCAUGGCCAAUGACCCACCCAUCCUAGCCCUCCCCGAAGACCGUGCGGCAUCCCAUCCGAAGCGCAGUGUCGCCCUGAGCAUUUUGGUAGCCGGGGCCUCGCCAGAGGUGACCGGAGCCGCCGAAACCAUCGCCGGAGCCCCGCUUCUGUCCUCUGUCGUUGCCGGUGCCAUGGCCCUCCCCCGCAGCUCCUGAUGGGCCUCUCCGGUGUGGCACUCCACAGCAAGCACCCCGGUGGUCCCAGCUCCAUCGGAGGUGGUCGAAGUCGCUGGGGCCAGCGCCAGCUACGCCACGGCCUCGCCUUUCCUCCGUCCCGCGAGCAGACGACUGGAGGUAGAAGAAGGAGCGAGAGGAGAGAGAAUGGAUAAGUUUGCAGGUCAUCCCGUGAUUCCUUGCUUGUCGUGGAUGUCGAGUUUGCGAGCUAGGAUAAGAGUUUUAGCCAGAGUCCCUGCGGAGUGGAGUCCAUCACCGUCUUCAUUGUUCCGCUGCUAGCAUAGAGCAACUUGAGCAAGUGUAGUGUCGUCGUGCCGAUGUAAUUCGUUGUGAUAUCAGAACCCUUGUAUAUGUAUCAUUUGUAAUAAAGAGUUGAUUUGUUC
Molecule: long non-coding RNA, 972 nt
Organism: Triticum dicoccoides
Lineage: Eukaryota; Viridiplantae; Streptophyta; Magnoliopsida; Poales; Poaceae
Exons: 2
Source: RefSeq, a predicted model, not a curated record